RNAcentral lists this ribosomal RNA (472 nucleotides) under uncultured bacterium. RNAcentral describes it as "bacterial SSU rRNA". It matches the Rfam family "Bacterial small subunit ribosomal RNA", at positions 329 to 793 of the family's 1533-position model. The record is from RNAcentral.
CAACGCACUCCGUACGGGAGGCAGCAGUGGGGAAUAUUGCACAAUGGGCGCAAGCCUGAUGCAGCCAUGCCGCGUGUAUGAAGAAGGCCUUCGGGUUGUAAAGUACUUUCAGCAGUGAGGAAGGUGGGUAUGUUAAUAGCAUACUCAUUUGACGUUAGCUGCAGAAGAAGCACCGGCUAACUCCGUGCCAGCAGCCGCGGUAAUACGGAGGGUGCGAGCGUUAAUCGGAAUUACUGGGCGUAAAGCGCAUGCAGGUGGUUUGUUAAGUCAGAUGUGAAAGCCCGGGGCUCAACCUCGGAAUUGCAUUUGAAACUGGCAAACUAGAGUACUGUAGAGGGGGUAGAAUUUCAGGUGUAGCGGUGAAAUGCGUAGAGAUCUGAAGGAAUACCGGUGGCGAAGGCGGCCCCCUGGACAGAUACUGACACUCAGAUGCGAAAGCGUGGGGAGCAAACAGGAUUAGAUACCCUGGUAG